Molecule: ribosomal RNA, 1432 nt
Filed under: uncultured organism
Description: 16S ribosomal RNA
Rfam family: Bacterial small subunit ribosomal RNA
Source: RNAcentral
CGCUGGCGGCGUGCUUAACACAUGCAAGUCGAACGGAAAGGCCCUGCUUUUGUGGGGUGCCCGAGUGGCGAACGGGUGAGUAACACGUGAGUAACCUGCCCUUGACUUUGGGAUAACUUCAGGAAACUGGGGCUAAUACCGGAUAGGAGCUCCUGCUGCAUGGUGGGGGUUGGAAAGUUUCGGCGGUUGGGGAUGGACUCGCGGCUUAUCAGCUUGUUGGUGGGGUAGUGGCUUACCAAGGCUUUGACGGGUAGCCGGCCUGAGAGGGUGACCGGCCACAUUGGGACUGAGAUACGGCCCAGACUCCUACGGGAGGCAGCAGUGGGGAAUAUUGCACAAUGGGCGGAAGCCUGAUGCAGCAACGCCGCGUGCGGGAUGACGGCCUUCGGGUUGUAAACCGCUUUCGCCUGUGACGAAGCGUGAGUGACGGUAAUGGGUAAAGAAGCACCGGCUAACUACGUGCCAGCAGCCGCGGUGAUACGUAGGGUGCGAGCGUUGUCCGGAUUUAUUGGGCGUAAAGGGCUCGUAGGUGGUUGACCGCGUCGGAAGUGUAAUCUUGGGGCUUAACCCUGAGCGUGCUUUCGAUACGGGUUGACUUGAGGAAGGUAGGGGAGAAUGGAAUUCCUGGUGGAGCGGUGGAAUGCGCAGAUAUCAGGAGGAACACCAGUGGCGAAGGCGGUUCUCUGGGCCUUUCCUGACGCUGAGGAGCGAAAGCGUGGGGAGCGAACAGGCUUAGAUACCCUGGUAGUCCACGCUGUAAACGGUGGGUACUAGGUGUGGGGUCCAUUCCACGGGUUUCCGUGCCGUAGCUAACGCUUUAAGUACCCCGCCUGGGGAGUACGGCCGCAAGGUUAAAACUCAAAGGAAUUGACGGGGCCCCGCACAAGCGGCGGAGCAUGCGGAUUAAUUCGAUGCAACGCGUAGAACCUUACCUGGGUUUGACAUGGAUCGGGAGUGCUCAGAGAUGGGUGUGCCUCUUUUGGGGUCGGUUCACAGGUGGUGCAUGGCUGUCGUCAGCUCGUGUCGUGAGAUGUUGGGUUAAGUCCCGCAACGAGCGCAACCCUUGUUCACUGUUGCCAGCACGUUAUGGUGGGGACUCAGUGGAGACCGCCGGGGUCAACUCGGAGGAAGGUGGGGAUGACGUCAAGUCAUCAUGCCCCUUAUGUCCAGGGCUUCACGCAUGCUACAAUGGCUGGUACAGAGAGUGGCGAGCCUGUGAGGGUGAGCGAAUCUCGGAAAGCCGGUCUCAGUUCGGAUUGGGGUCUGCAACUCGACCUCAUGAAGUCGGAGUCGCUAGUAAUCGCAGAUCAGCAACGCUGCGGUGAAUACGUUCCCGGGGCUUGUACACACCGCCCGUCAAGUCAUGAAAGUUGGUAACACCCGAAGCCGAUGGCCUAACCGUUGUGGGGGAGCCGUCGAAGGUGGGACUGGU